CCAGGGACGGAAGCUGAGGCGGACCGGAAGUCGCUUGUGCGCGUGCUCCGCGGCGGAGGAAGGCGGAGGUGGGGGUCCAGGCCGCCUGAGGGGAGCUCUUGUUGCUGGUUGCUGGGUUUUGGGGCUGCGGGAGACUUUGGCUGUUGGUUUAGUGCCAUGCAUCCUUUACAGUGUGUCCUGCAAGCACAGAGAUGGGGCUCCUUGGCUUCUGUGUCCUGGCUGCUGUUCAGGACCUGCAGGGCACAGAGUAGUGUCCACGGCACCACAUGUCCCGGUCCAGAGAGGCAGCAGGAAAAUGGAGUUCAGAAGGAUUUCAGCUCUAGGCUGGCUGCUGGCCCGACUUUUCAGCAUUUUUUAAGAAGUGCUUUAGAUCCUCAAGAGAAGCCUGACGUGGAGGACCCACCCCCCUAUCUCACAGUGGAUGAACUUUCUGGGAGGCAGAGAAAAGUCUACCUGGAGACCUAUGGCUGUCAGAUGAAUGUGAAUGACACAGAGAUAGCCUGGUCUGUCUUACAGAAGAGUGGCUACCUGCGCACCAGGAACCUCCAAGAGGCUGAUGUGAUCCUCCUUGUCACAUGUUCUAUCAGGGAGAAGGCUGAACAGACCAUCUGGAAUCGUUUACAUCAGCUUAAAGCCCUGAAGACAAAACGGCUCCGCUCCCGAGUGCCUCUGAGGAUUGGGAUUCUAGGCUGCAUGGCUGAGAGAUUGAAGGAGGAGAUCCUCAACAGGGAGAAAAUGGUGGAUAUUUUGGCUGGUCCAGAUGCCUAUCGGGACCUUCCUCGGCUGCUGGCUGUUGCCGAGUCAGGUCAACAAGCUGCCAAUGUGCUGCUCUCUCUGGAUGAGACCUAUGCUGAUGUCAUGCCAGUCCAGACAAGCCCCAGUGCUACAUCAGCCUUCGUGUCUAUCAUGCGAGGCUGUGACAAUAUGUGCAGCUACUGCAUCGUCCCUUUCACUCGUGGACGGGAGAGGAGUCGGCCUGUUGCUUCCAUUCUAGAGGAAGUGAGGAAGCUUUCUGAGCAGGGGCUGAAAGAAGUGACACUCCUUGGUCAGAAUGUUAAUAGUUUUCGGGACAGUUCAGAGGUCCAGUUCAACAAUGCAGUGUCUACCAACCUCAGCCGUGGCUUCUCCACCAACUAUAAACCCAAGCAAGGAGGCCUUCGUUUUGCUCACCUUCUGGAUCAUGUCUCCAGAGUAGAUCCUGAAAUGAGGAUCCGUUUCACUUCUCCCCACCCCAAAGACUUUCCUGAUGAGGUUCUGCAGCUGAUUCAUGAGAGAGACAACAUCUGUAAACAGAUCCACCUACCAGCCCAGAGUGGAAGCAGCCGUGUAUUGGAGGCCAUGCGGAGGGGAUAUUCAAGAGAAGCUUAUGUGGAGUUAGUUCAUCAUAUCAGAGAAUCUAUUCCAGGUGUGAGCCUCAGCAGCGAUUUCAUUGCUGGCUUUUGUGGUGAGACAGAGGAAGAUCACCUCCAGACGGUGUCUUUGCUUCGGGAAGUUCAGUAUAACAUGGGCUUCCUCUUUGCCUACAGUAUGAGACAGAAGACCAGGGCAUAUCACAGGCUGAAAGAUGAUGUUCCAGAAGAGGUGAAAUUAAGGCGUUUGGAGGAACUUAUUACUGUCUUUCGAGAAGAAGCAACAAAAGCCAACAUGGCCUCUGUGGGUUGUACCCAGCUAGUGCUGGUGGAGGGGCACAGUAAACGCUCUGCCACUGACCUGUGUGGCCGGAAUGAUGGAAACCUUAAAGUGAUCUUCCCUAAUGUAGAGAUGGAGGAUGUUUCUAACUCAGGGGUCAGGGUUAGAGCUCAGCCUGGGGACUAUGUGCUGGUGAAGAUUACGUCCACCAGUUCUCAGACACUUAAAGGACAUGUUCUCUGCAGGACCACCCUGAAGGACUCCUCAGCAUAUUGCUGACCUGAGUGGAUGGCCUUAGAGUUGACAUGGGCUGUCCUUCCUGACAGGAAGGGAGAUAGGACUGGUCACUAAAGAAAGAGACAAGGGCUUUCGAGGCAGCCAUGUCCAGGGAAGGCAGAAGACUUAACAACUACCUACAAGGCACUGAGCAGAAGGUGCAUCUAUUUGGGUGUGGACCGAUCGAAUAUUAGCAGGCAACACAAUGAUAAGGAAACUGAGUCUUGAAGAGGCUUAUCAACUUAUCUCCAGUCGCACAGAUGCUGAUUUUGACUUGAAGAAUUAACUAAUAUCCAUAAAGCACUUCACCAGGGCUGGCUGCAGAAUGGGAGCUUCAUAAAUGCCACUUCCUCUCUCCCUAACUCUCCUUCCUGGAAGAUUUCCUUCCAGUUUAUUAAGAAGACACAAUCCGCCAAGCUCUGAGUCUCAGAGUCAAAAACUUAAGGAGUCUGGGUGAAGCCUCCUUGGGACUUCAUCACAACCAGUUGGAUGCAGAGAGAGAAAAAUGGAGAACUCACAAAUUUCCGGAUUGGAUCCAUACAGUCUCAGGAACAAUCCUGCAAUGCCCAAAGGUUCCCCUGGUUUGCACAGGACUCUCAAAAUCACCCUGUUGAGAUCAUUUCCUCAUCUUUCAAAAGAGAUAAUUCAGGACUGGAGAAUGGGAAUGGCUUUCUCCAAGUCGGCCAUCCAGCCAGUGGAUAAGCCAGGAGGCAUUGGUGGUGAUGUGCACUGGCUUCAGAGACAGACAGGCCUGGGAUGGAAUCCCAGCUCUGCCCCCUACUACUGGCUGGACAAUCUGGGCAAUGCAGAGUUUUGCCCAGAUGAGGCAAUUUCCUCAUCUGGAAAAUGUGGAUGAUACACACCCAUACCUUCCUCUCAGCCUUGUCGUGCUGCGCCCCAGAGAGCACUCGUGUGUGCGUCUACCCUCAGACCCCACCAGAGUGUGGAGGCAAACAUACCCGCCUGUGAUUACUCUCCACGAAGCAGGCAGAUCCUGAAGUGUAUCUUAAACCUGAAAAAGUGGCUUUGGAGCAAAUUCAUUAUACAGGAGAGGAAAGUGGAGGACAGAUAAGUGGGAGAUGAGGGUACAGGGUCCGAGGGUCCCAGGAAACCUCACUGGUAGCACCCAUUGCCUCUGGGCCCUGAAGGGCUUAUAGCUCGUCAGCGGCCUGGUAUUGUGCAUCUUACGGGAAUGCUGUGGCCCUACUUACCGGAUAGAAGAUGGCCCCAGCUUCAGCAGCCAGCGACAAUGCUCAAACCCUCGGCUGUACGGCAGACCUACCUCCUGAUGGGGGCGCCAUGUUCACAGCCCGGUCUUCCCCCACUGGAGCUCCAUUCCUUUGGUUCAGUUCUUAGAGACUCCCCUGCCAUAACCAGCCCCAUGCUGACCUACCUUCCUGGAGAGGUACUCCGUCUUCCAGCACAUCCAAGCCCAAGCCCAACAAAGGGACUGUUGGCAGUUCGGCUGUGGCAGAUCAAGUGACGGUCUCUCAAGAUGGGGCCAGAGUUCCACAGUGACUCUCCAGGGUUUAAACAUCCUUACUGGAGUCUGACAGGAUGCCAUGCCGAUCCUGCAGAUAGGAGGACCACUGGGCCUCUGCAACUGGCAGCAAAGAGAGACAUGAAAAGUUGUCACUGUGAAGCAGGCCUGUAGUAGCACAUGGGAGAGGACAAGAGCGGAGGCCGGAGAGGCCCCUGGAAAAACCAUGGCCACUACAGGCCUCUCCGGCCUUCGGCCUUGUCCUCUCCCAUGUCCCCGACACUCAUCGCUGAAGGAAAGGCUUUCGGAAACUGUGCAUAUUUUACAGGGGGGACAGGAGAGGCCCAGAGAGAGGAAAGGUCUGGUAUAAGGUCACCUGGAGAGCUAGUAGCUGAACUGUGGCUUGAACUCAGUUCUCAGGAUGCCGAGGCCAGGGCUUUCUCUGGCCAUCUUCCCUGGCCUUCGCCACAACCAUGGAGAAAUCCCAGGGAAGUCACUAGAGGCCUCUCAGAUGAGUCAGGCCAUUCCUGGCUCUACAGGGCGACUACAGGCUGCCCCUUCCUGCUUGAAGGGGAUCGUGUCUCCUCCCCUGUCUUUUGCUGGGGACCCAAUCUUGGUGAGAAACCUAGAGGAGACGGAGGUGGGCUGAGGCAAGCUAUGAUGAUAGUCCUGAAGUCUGGCCAGGACAGCUCUCCUUUGUCCACUGCUCCUGUCUCCUCCCUUCCUUCCCCCACCCCUCAGCAUAGGGGAUUUGGGAAAUAGAAUGAAAACACAAUGAUGUAAUAAAAAAACAAAAACAAACAACAACAACAACAACAACAACAAAACCUUCCUGAGGUGCCUGGGUGGCUCAGUCAGUUGAGUGUCCAACUUUUGAUUUCAGCUCAGGUCAUGAUCUCACCGUUCAUGGGUUUGAAGCCUGUGUUGGGUUCUGCACUGACAACAUGGUGCCUGCUUGGAAUAUUCUCUCUCCCCCUCUCUCUGCCCUUUCCCUGCUCACUCUUUCUCUCCCUCUCAAAAUAAAGAAUAAAAUAAAACUUAAAAAAAAAAACUCCUUUAAGACUCAGAGAUCACUUGGCUUUAUUGGAGAGCUUCUCACAAUAGAGUUGUGCAAUAUCCCGGGAAUCUCACCACGAUACUUUUCACCAAAGUGAGACAGCCUGGAAACUUACAUAUAAUACUAAGAACAACCUCACUUUAACACCAAGAGAAUGGGCUAGCCCAGAAACCCAACGGUAAUACCUUCACUAUGGAAUGAGAUAUCCCGAUAGCUGACCACAACAGUGAAAUAUUUGAGGAACCCCAUGAUAGAAGUCUUCCCUAUGGGGUAGGAUAUUCCGGGAACCCCACAACACUGAUCAUUAUGGAGUAGAGAAUUUCAGCAAUUUCCCUGAAGUACUAUUACAGAGUGAGUGAAUUUCUUGACAAUACUCUUCACCAUGGAGUAGGUUAGUUCAGGAGCUCUAUCUCAAUGCUGAUGCCUGUGGAGUGGGCUCUCCCCAGAACUCCGCUCCUACAUUGAUCAUUAUGGAAUGGGCUGCUUCAGGAAAAUCUAUAACAAGGAUCACGAUGGAAUAGGAGAACCUAGAAUUCAAAUCUGACAUUAAUCACUAUGGAGCAGGCUAUCUCAGGAACCCCAUUGGUCCCUGUGGCAUUGCUUAUCCAAAAACCCAGCUUUAGUGCUCCUUAUGGAUCAAAAUAUGGAUUCUGUGUCAGGGAGGCUCUUCAUGGCCCCAGAGCCCAUGCUUUCAGAGCCCUUGAGAAAGGACUGCUCGACACUGAAGAAGGCAAUGAGGUUGGGAAACAAUGGGGGUGGAGAUGAGAAGAAAAAACUUACUUUCAAUCAGCCGGUUAGUGAAAGAGGCCGGGAAGUGUCUGUCCUGGGAAACACCGGAAAGCCUCCAUUAAUUGAGCACCAUCUGCAUGCCAGGCCCCAAGCCUCUCAUUUGAUCCUUACAACAAACUUGCCAUAGAGGGAUUAUAGACAAGAAAAAGGAGGCUUGGAGACGUGAACUGCUUUGCCCAGGUCUUACAGUGAGCUGGCGGCAGAGCUGUUCCUACAAUCUGGAUUCCCAACUCUGAGUCUGGGCAGUUGAGUGCUGGAAGGCAUGGGGGCUGUUGUUCCCAAGGUCCCUGAAGGUCCUACUUUGUGGAACAAAUCAUGUUCCUCAUAAUCAGAACUUCCCAUGAGCCGGGGUGCUGGCUGGACCAUGUUCAUGUUUAGAAGAAGCUCAGAAGAGAGGGAUGCAGGAGAGGCCACCAUGGGCCACUCCCCCAGCAUGGACCACUUCUCCACCGUGGACCACUUCUCCAGCCUGGACCCCACAUAUUGUGAUCCUAAGUAACUAACCCGAUUGUUUAUUUUAUGGAUAUAAAUCUAGGGGAAAGGGGAAUAAACCACUAAGUUUUGAAUCUCUA
Neofelis nebulosa (Clouded leopard) is the source of this 5803-nucleotide RNA transcript. It is a transcript of the gene named CDK5 regulatory subunit associated protein 1, with no coding region annotated. The transcript has 22 exons. The record is from RefSeq and is a predicted model, not a curated record. Lineage: Eukaryota; Metazoa; Chordata; Mammalia; Carnivora; Felidae.